Podospora aff. communis PSN243 is the source of this 83-nucleotide non-coding RNA. The record is from the annotation of a GenBank genome assembly. Lineage: Eukaryota; Fungi; Ascomycota; Sordariomycetes; Sordariales; Podosporaceae.
GGUCGUGUGGUCUAGUGGUUACGACAUCUGCUUUACAUGAGCUUGAUCGCAGAGGAUCGCAGGUUCGAUCCCUGCCACGAUCA